Molecule: ribosomal RNA, 337 nt
Filed under: Lautropia mirabilis
Lineage: Bacteria; Pseudomonadati; Pseudomonadota; Betaproteobacteria; Burkholderiales; Burkholderiaceae
Description: bacterial SSU rRNA
Rfam family: Bacterial small subunit ribosomal RNA
Source: RNAcentral
GCGAAAGCCGGAUUAAUACCGCAUACGACCUGAGGGUGAAAGCGGGGGAUCUUCGGACCUCGCGCUAUUUGGAGCCGCCGAUGGCAGAUUAGCUAGUUGGUGGGGUAAAGGCCUACCAAGGCGACGAUCUGUAGCUGGUCUGAGAGGACGACCAGCCACACUGGGACUGAGACACGGCCCAGACCUCUACGGGAGGCAGCAGUGGGGAAUUUUGGACAAUGGGCGAAAGCCUGAUCCAGCAAUGCCGCGUGUGUGAUGAAGGGCUUCGGGUUGUAAAGCACUUUUGGCGGGAACGAAAGGGACUGUGCCAAUACCACGGUUCGAUGACGGACCCGCA